Molecule: ribosomal RNA, 367 nt
Filed under: Bacillus subtilis Miyagi-4
Lineage: Bacteria; Bacillati; Bacillota; Bacilli; Caryophanales; Bacillaceae
Description: LSU rRNA
Rfam family: Bacterial large subunit ribosomal RNA
Source: RNAcentral
GGUUAAGUUAGAAAGGGCGCACGGUGGAUGCCUUGGCACUAGGAGCCGAUGAAGGACGGGACGAACACCGAUAUGCUUCGGGGAGCUGUAAGCAAGCUUUGAUCCGGAGAUUUCCGAAUGGGGAAACCCACCACUCGUAAUGGAGUGGUAUCCAUAUCUGAAUUCAUAGGAUAUGAGAAGGCAGACCCGGGGAACUGAAACAUCUAAGUACCCGGAGGAAGAGAAAGCAAAUGCGAUUCCCUGAGUAGCGGCGAGCGAAACGGGAUUAGCCCAAACCAAGAGGCUUGCCUCUUGGGGUUGUAGGACACUCUGUACGGAGUUACAAAGGAACGAGGUAGAUGAAGAGGUCUGGAAAGGCCCGCCAUAG